UACGGAGGGAGCUAGCGUUGUUCGGAAUUACUGGGCGUAAAGCGCACGUAGGCGGCUAUUCAAGUCGGGGGUGAAAGCCCGGGGCUCAACCCCGGAACUGCCCUCGAAACUAGAUAGCUAGAAUCUUGGAGAGGCGAGUGGAAUUCCGAGUGUAGAGGUGAAAUUCGUAGAUAUUCGGAAGAACACCAGUGGCGAAGGCGACUCGCUGGACAAGUAUUGACGCUGAGGUGCGAAAGCGUGGGGAGCAAACAGGG
This 254-nucleotide ribosomal RNA is filed under the name uncultured bacterium. Its description in RNAcentral is "partial 16S ribosomal RNA". It matches the Rfam family "Bacterial small subunit ribosomal RNA", at positions 524 to 777 of the family's 1533-position model. The record is from RNAcentral.